CGCUGACGAGUGGCGGACGGGUGAGUAAUGUCUGGGAAACUGCCUGAUGGAGGGGGAUAACUACUGGAAACGGUAGCUAAUACCGCAUAACGUCGCAAGACCAAAGAGGGGGACCUUCGGGCCUCUUGCCAUCAGAUGUGCCCAGAUGGGAUUAGCUAGUAGGUGGGGUAACGGCUCACCUAGGCGACGAUCCCUAGCUGGUCUGAGAGGAUGACCAGCCACACUGGAACUGAGACACGGUCCAGACUCCUACGGGAGGCAGCAGUGGGGAAUAUUGCACAAUGGGCGCAAGCCUGAUGCAGCCAUGCCGCGUGUAUGAAGAAGGCCUUCGGGUUGUAAAGUACUUUCAGCGGGGAGGAAGGCGAUGUGGUUAAUAACCGCGUCGAUUGACGUUACCCGCAGAAGAAGCACCGGCUAACUCCGUGCCAGCAGCCGCGGUAAUACGGAGGGUGCAAGCGUUAAUCGGAAUUACUGGGCGUAAAGCGCACGCAGGCGGUCUGUCAAGUCGGAUGUGAAAUCCCCGGGCUCAACCUGGGAACUGCAUCCGAAACUGGCAGGCUUGAGUCUCGUAGAGGGGGGUAGAAUUCCAGGUGUAGCGGUGAAAUGCGUAGAGAUCU
RNAcentral lists this ribosomal RNA (617 nucleotides) under Kosakonia cowanii. RNAcentral describes it as "bacterial SSU rRNA". It matches the Rfam family "Bacterial small subunit ribosomal RNA", at positions 86 to 699 of the family's 1533-position model. Lineage: Bacteria; Pseudomonadati; Pseudomonadota; Gammaproteobacteria; Enterobacterales; Enterobacteriaceae. The record is from RNAcentral.